UACAGAGGGUGCAAGCGUUGUUCGGAAUUAUUGGGCGUAAAGCGCGUGUAGGCGGCUUUGCAAGUCGGGUGUGAAAGCCCUCGGCUCAACCGAGGAAGUGCGCCCGAAACUGCAGAGCUUGAGUGCCGGAGAGGAUGGCGGAAUUCCCCAAGUAGAGGUGAAAUUCGUAGAUAUUCGCAAGAACACCAGUGGCGAAGGCGGCUCACUGGCCCGGUACUGGACGCUGAGGUGCGAAAGCGUGGGGAGCAAACAGGGAUUAAGAAACCCCGGUGAGUCCC
RNAcentral lists this ribosomal RNA (278 nucleotides) under uncultured bacterium. RNAcentral's name for it is "partial 16S ribosomal RNA". It matches the Rfam family "Bacterial small subunit ribosomal RNA", at positions 524 to 797 of the family's 1533-position model. The record is from RNAcentral.